Molecule: ribosomal RNA, 232 nt
Filed under: uncultured bacterium
Lineage: Bacteria
Description: partial 16S ribosomal RNA
Rfam family: Bacterial small subunit ribosomal RNA
Source: RNAcentral
CGAACGGGUGAGUAAUACAUCGGAACGUAUCCAGUAGCGGGGGAUAACCUCUCGAAAGAGAGGCUAAUACCGCAUACGACCUACGGGUGAAAGAGGGGGAUCGCAAGACCUCUCACUAUUGGAGCGGCCGAUGUCGGAUUAGCUAGUUGGCGGGGUAACGGCCCACCAAGGCAACGACGGGUAGCUGGUCUGAGAGGACGAUCAGCCACACUGGAACUGAGACACGGUCCAG